Molecule: ribosomal RNA, 377 nt
Filed under: uncultured eukaryote
Lineage: Eukaryota
Description: partial 18S ribosomal RNA
Rfam family: Eukaryotic small subunit ribosomal RNA
Source: RNAcentral
CAAUAGCGUAUAUUUAAGUUGCUGCAGUUAAAAAGCUCGUAGUUGGAUUUCGGGUGGGAAUGGCCGGUCCGCCGUUUCGGUGUGCACUUGCUACGCCCACCUUGCUGCCGGGGACGUGCUCUUGAGUUCACGCUCGGGACACGGAGUCGGCGAGGUUACUUUGAGUAAAUUAGAGUGUUCAAAGCAGGCCUACGCUCUGAAUACAUUAGCAUGGAAUAACACGAUAGGACUCUGGCCUAUCUUGUUGGUCUGUAGGACCGGAGUAAUGAUUAAGAGGGACAGUCGGGGGCACUCGUAUUUCAUUGUCAGAGGUGAAAUUCUUGGAUUUAUGAAAGACGAACUACUGCGAAAGCAUUUGCCAAGGAUGUUUUCAUUAA